CGCGGGACCGGUGGCACCGCCCGCAGCACCUGCUGUCCGGUUUGCGCAGCCCGUCCGCGUCUACCAGCGCCAGGCGCGGCCGGCUCCACUGGACCUGCAGCCGGCCCCGCCACCGCCGUCGCCGCCUCAGUCAUCGCCGGUGGACUCUUCUCCGCCGGCGACGCCUACACCACCUCCACCGGCCCCGACUGCCCGUGUCGCGCCGACGGUGUACCAUCCGCCUCUCCUAC
This 230-nucleotide long non-coding RNA is filed under the name Setaria italica (foxtail millet). RNAcentral's name for it is "long non-coding RNA (SITA_LNC000144)". The record is from RNAcentral. Lineage: Eukaryota; Viridiplantae; Streptophyta; Magnoliopsida; Poales; Poaceae.